This 69-nucleotide transfer RNA is filed under the name Marmota monax (woodchuck). Its description in RNAcentral is "tRNA.Ala". Lineage: Eukaryota; Metazoa; Chordata; Mammalia; Rodentia; Sciuridae. The record is from RNAcentral.
GGGGCCGGGGCUCAGUGGUAGAGCGCUCACCUGGCACAUGUGAGGCACUGGGUUCAAUCCUCAGUACCA